Non-coding RNA from Paramisgurnus dabryanus, 2930 nucleotides. NCBI's taxonomy places the organism in Eukaryota, Metazoa, Chordata, Actinopteri, Cypriniformes, Cobitidae. The record is from RefSeq and is a predicted model, not a curated record.
CCCCGGCUCCCUGUGGAUUUCCUCCUUGGUAGGGUCCAGGAGGUGGUACCAGGUACUGUACAUGACUGGGUGGUGGAACACCAAGCCCGACUUCAGGUUGCUUUUGAGGGGGCUCGUGACCGGUUAAGGCAGGCUGCAGACCGCCGUAAGGCCAAUUAUGAUCAAGGUGUUCAUGAUGUCCCGUUAAAGGAAGGCCAGCUGGUGUACCUUCGAGAUUAUGCUAAGAGGGGUCGUCAGAAAAUUCAGGAUUUGUGGAGCUCUGUUGUAUAUCGGGUAGUGAAAACACCCAAGGCGAGCGGCGCUGUCUAUUCAGUAGCACCACUGGGUGAGCCAGACAGGGUUAAACAUGUUCACCGGUCCUCAUUAAAGGCAUGUGUUCAGAGGGAGUCACUGGUAUUUGAGGGUAAUCAGACCCAUCAAGGUUCUGAAGUUAACCCUCCACUGGAACAAGCGAGUGUGCAGGAGGACGAGUCUGAACCAGAAUGGUUGUUGGUUAUUCCAGGGGGAAACCAGGUACCAGGAGUAUCACAUUCUGCUGAACUAGCUUGUGUAGAACCAUCUUCCACAGGUUCGUUAGCGCCUUCAGGAGUUGUGCCAACAUCUUCUGUUGCGCCUGAUUUAGGGGUAAGAGAAGCCAGUGAGUUAUCUGCAGACUUGUUGGUAAGCGUUCCGUCUGUUAGGGAUGAGAAUGAGGGUCGACGGCCGCGACGAACCACCGCUGGCCACCACUCUAAUGUUUACCGCCUUCCUCAGCCUGUAGGUAGGGUAGUGUCGGAGGCCCAUACAGCUUCUACUGUAGCCUCAGCAAUUUUUAGGCCAUGGGAUUAAGUUGAUCGUCGGGGCGACGAUGCAAGACCUUGGGGGUGGACUGUGGCAUGUAGAGAUCGGGAGGUAAUUAUUGAGUAUUAGUUUAUUCAUUGGUUGGGGCCGAUAGAGGGGGUUGGAUUACGCAUAUAUAAACAGCAUACGUGUGUGUGACCCAGACGAGCGUCACUUCCCGGUAUCCCGUUUCGCUUCCGGCGUAUGGACUGAGGGCUGUUGUUAUCUUGGCUGUGCAGGACGAUUGCUGCAACUGUAAACAUCUCCGUGGCUGCAGAUAUUGUGGCUUUGACUUGUCGGCGGCGUGUUUCAUCUGUUUAUGCGAUCACAUUCAGUCAAUACGAUGCUGCGUAUGGGCGGAUGACGACUGUAUAUGCCAAGUUAUUCUCCUUGUGUAUCCUGAGCUCCACCAGCUGAGUGAUUAAACUGAAACUAAAACUUUGCAUUGCCACUAUGGAGUAUUAUCUUCACCUCCACUGAUUCCCGGGUCCCUGUGCCUGUUAUUCGGUAUGUCUCACUCAUGUGGGUUUAUUACAGAAAUGUAUUGUGACGACUGAUUAACAUGAUUAGUUUUCCCCCAUUUUAUAGAGUGAUAGGGGUAUGCAGUGACGUCACCGCUGUCUUGUUCCGGGUUGAAUAUUCGCGUUCGUGAACGUGAAUCCUAUUUUGAUACGUUUGUGAAUCCGCUAAUGCGGUGGGAGUGCUUUUGCACUUAUAUGGUCCAGUUAUGUUUUCAGUGAUUUACUUGUUGAUUUGGGUUAAUUUUUGUAUUAUUGCCAGCGUACUGGCGUGAACAUAUGUUUUCUUUCUGUUUGUUUCAGUGACAAUUGGUUUUGUUUCUUUAUUCUUUAAUUCAAUUUAAUUUGGUUAAUUUUGUUAUUGUGUGUUGGACAGGCAUUAAGUGUCAGCUGUGUUGCCUGCCUGAAUUUUGUAAAUCAUUUUUGUUUCUGUUUGAGUGUGUGUUUGUGUGUGUGCUGUGUUAUUUUGUUUUACAGGAGCUGCAGACCUUUGAUGAAGAGCAGGGCUAAAUAAAGUCUUUCUUUAGGUGGUGAUGGUGUUUCCUCACGGAGUGCUGUGAUUUGCCGUGUGCACUGGGGCUUUUGGAGUGGUGUGAGUUUGCAGUAUGCUAGUUUGGUGAAAGUUCACACUGAGUGCUUCAAAUCAUUCAGAAGAGAUGCUUUUAGGGCAGUUUAUUAAAGAAGACCUGACAUGGAUGACUUCCAAUGAGAAACGACUGCUUACUUAUAUAAAUUCAUUACAGAAGGACCCUACCAGACUAUAUUUGUAUACGGCAUACCCAUGAAUUCUGGAACUGUUAUUCCUUAACCCAGUUUGGAGGAUAAGAGCUUACCAACUAGUUAUAAAUAUGCUGAGGUGAUGUAUUGCAAAAUAGCCAACAUACAACAAUAUGGAUGACCCUCUGUCUGGUCAACAGGAGUUUAAAUAUGGACGGGACAGUUAUGUGGCAGCUCUUCCCUGGCUCAUUCACCACUUGCCUUUCAUUUGUGAAAGGAAGAAAGACUGGAGAGGGUCAAUGUGCAACUGAAGCUACUGAUUGUGCUAUGUGAUGAGCAUCAAUCCAUGCUUUGAGGUGGAAGAAUCAGCACAGCCCUGCCUGCACUGCGUUGGGAACAGAAGUUGCAUCCAGAAUUUUUGCAUCAUUCUGGACCAAAAAGCCAUUCCCUCCAUGAUGAAGACCACUGAUGCAGCCUUCCACUACAUCAUGAGUAAAACAACUACAGAACUAAAUACCAGGUUGGAACGUAUUUAAGAAAAAUGAAACGUCUUUUGAAUUGUUUUGUUAUGGAAAAAUCUUUAGUAUUGUGAAGGAUAAGCAUUUCUGCCUGCCAGUAAGGUAAUUGCAGUGUAUUUUAAUGUUCAAGUUUUGAGUAGGGUGGCAAAUUUUUUUUAAACUCUCAUUUGAUAUAUUAAAGACCUUAUAAUAAGUGGUUUUUAUGUCACUGCGCUGUGGUAUAAGAUAACUUUCAUUAUUCCAUACUGUAUUCUGUAUUCUAAUUGUAGCUGAGGUAUUUAAAUAAGCAGUGUUAAAUGCAAAGUGUUGUGUGUAUCAAUGUAAAUAUUAAAUGUGAUGUACUUUAAUAAAAAGAGGU